GGAAAAGUGAAAGCGCUCGGUGUCUGGCUCGCCCGGGUCACCAGCCCCCUCCUCAGAUCUCCCAGUCCCUAGGUCUAGGUCAGCUGUUUUUGAGAUUGUAGAUGAUUGUAAAUCUUACCUGGGUUUUUGUGCUGACCUACACCUCCUAAGAGGCAGAGGUGGCAUACUGGAUAAAGUUCUGGGCUUAGAGUCAGGAAGACCUGAAUUCAAAUGUAGCCUCAGACACUUACUAUUGUGACCCUGGUAAACAACAUUUGGAGAGGAGAGAAGCACAAGCUAGAAGCAAGACUGCUUUGAUGAAGGCUCAAAAGCAAUGCCUAAAUUUAAGAAAAACACAAAACAUGCAAACAGAUGCAUCACUGAAAGGAAUUGCAGAACAAUACAUCCAUGUACACAUUAAUCAUAACAGUGAUUUGGAAUGCAAGGAAAUUAGAAAGUAUAUCACUUGUUAAGUGAUUUCCUUCCUUAAAAUAAUAAAAAACCCACCCCAAACAAAAACAAUUAAAAAUCCUAGACUGUAUUUGUCAUGUGUGAAAAACUCCAACUGAUAUCAGUGUGAGCAUUUUAUGUAAGAAAAUUAGUUUUCGUACUUUGUUUCAUCUGCUUUGUUAACCUUCAUCCUGUAAUCCUUCUUCACCACAAAAUAUCAUGUUUUGCUUUAAAACUUAAAUGAACAAUUUCUAUUGUCAGAAACAUUGUUGUCAUCCAGUUAUCAAUAUUUAUGGAUUAGCCCUUGUGAACACAGCACAUUAUUACUAGGAAGUACAAAAAGACUAACAAAAGGUACUGUCCAUGCUCUAAGAGAUCUGAUGAUCCAACUGUCAAAUACAUCAUAGAAACUCAGAGUCUCUAGUCAAGCGUGCAUGUGACCGAGUCACUUGUGCAACAUGGCUGACACAUGGAUGACACAUGGCCAUCCAUCCAUCGUUAGAAGACUUCUAGGAGAUGGAAUGCGCUAGCU
This is a non-coding RNA of Phascolarctos cinereus (koala), 961 nucleotides long. Lineage: Eukaryota; Metazoa; Chordata; Mammalia; Diprotodontia; Phascolarctidae. The record is from RefSeq and is a predicted model, not a curated record.